AUGAACGCUGGCGGCGUGCUUAACACAUGCAAGUCGAACGAUGAAGCCCAGCUUGCUGGGUGGAUUAGUGGCGAACGGGUGAGUAACACGUGAGUAACCUGCCCUUAACUCUGGGAUAAGCCUGGGAAACUGGGUCUAAUACCGGAUAGGAGCGUCCACCGCAUGGUGGGUGUUGGAAAGAUUUAUCGGUUUUGGAUGGACUCGCGGGCUAUCAGCUCGUUGGUGGGGUAAUGGCUGACCAAGGCGACGACGGGUAGCCGGCCUGGGAGGGUGACCGGCCACGCUGGGGCUGAGGGACGGCGCAGAGUGGUACGGGAGGCAGCGGUGGGGAAUGUUGCGGAGUGGGGGGGAGCGUGAUGCAGCGGCGGCGCGUGGGGGAUGACGGGCUUCGGGUUGUAGGGGGGUUUGGGUGGGGAAGAAGCGGGAGUGAGGGUAGCGGGAGAGGAAGCGGGGGGUAGGUACGUG
Molecule: ribosomal RNA, 465 nt
Filed under: uncultured bacterium
Lineage: Bacteria
Description: partial 16S ribosomal RNA
Rfam family: Bacterial small subunit ribosomal RNA (bases 11-371)
Source: RNAcentral